This 541-nucleotide ribosomal RNA is filed under the name Stutzerimonas stutzeri. Its description in RNAcentral is "bacterial SSU rRNA". It matches the Rfam family "Bacterial small subunit ribosomal RNA", at positions 70 to 571 of the family's 1533-position model. The record is from RNAcentral. Lineage: Bacteria; Pseudomonadati; Pseudomonadota; Gammaproteobacteria; Pseudomonadales; Pseudomonadaceae.
GAUGUCGUUCUUACUGAGCGUAGAUUUCUGUUGGCGCAGAUUGGACAGGCUCCUGUUUCAGCGGCGGACGGGUGAGUAAUGCCUAGGAAUCUGCCUGGUAGUGGGGGACAACGUUUCGAAAGGAACGCUAAUACCGCAUACGUCCUACGGGAGAAAGUGGGGGAUCUUCGGACCUCACGCUAUCAGAUGAGCCUAGGUCGGAUUAGCUAGUUGGUGAGGUAAAGGCUCACCAAGGCGACGAUCCGUAACUGGUCUGAGAGGAUGAUCAGUCACACUGGAACUGAGACACGGUCCAGACUCCUACGGGAGGCAGCAGUGGGGAAUAUUGGACAAUGGGCGAAAGCCUGAUCCAGCCAUGCCGCGUGUGUGAAGAAGGUCUUCGGAUUGUAAAGCACUUUAAGUUGGGAGGAAGGGCAGUAAGUUAAUACCUUGCUGUUUUGACGUUACCAACAGAAUAAGCACCGGCUAACUUCGUGCCAGCAGCCGCGGUAAUACGAAGGGUGCAAGCGUUAAUCGGAAUUACUGUGGCGUAAAGAUCGCG